GAGGGUAUAGCUCAGCGGUAGAGUGCAUGCCUAACAUGCACAAGGUCCUAGGUUCAACCCCCAGUACCUCCA
RNAcentral lists this transfer RNA (72 nucleotides) under Camelus bactrianus (Bactrian camel). It matches the Rfam family "tRNA". From Rfam's summary of the family: Transfer RNA (tRNA) molecules are approximately 80 nucleotides in length. The record is from Rfam by way of RNAcentral. RNAcentral also lists the same sequence under 2 other names. Lineage: Eukaryota; Metazoa; Chordata; Mammalia; Artiodactyla; Camelidae.